UUUUCAUGAUGAGAAAAAUUUAUUUUCAGUUCUGCUUCUGCAAAUUUUUUGAAGAUAACCAAAUACCUUACCAAAAACUCCUGAUAC
This 87-nucleotide small nucleolar RNA is filed under the name Aspergillus aculeatus ATCC 16872. Lineage: Eukaryota; Fungi; Ascomycota; Eurotiomycetes; Eurotiales; Aspergillaceae. The record is from RNAcentral.